RNAcentral lists this non-coding RNA (32 nucleotides) under Homo sapiens (human). Lineage: Eukaryota; Metazoa; Chordata; Mammalia; Primates; Hominidae. The record is from RNAcentral.
UCGAGGACUGGUGACCUCACCUCUGCCUGCAC